Molecule: long non-coding RNA, 1095 nt
Organism: Homo sapiens (human)
Lineage: Eukaryota; Metazoa; Chordata; Mammalia; Primates; Hominidae
Product: long intergenic non-protein coding RNA 1674
Source: Ensembl
AGACUCGUGUGUGGCUGCUUGCGCAGCUGCUCCGUGCCAGGCUUGGAGGACCAGGAGAAGGGGUAGUCACUUGCCACAGCUGGAGGCUGGAGCGUGUGGCACCACGGCUCGCCUCGCUGUGGUGGGCGCUGGCGGCAGAGACGGCAGCUCGGCUGGACUGUUAAACAUUAUGUAAACGAAAGUACAGAACCCUGGCAAAAUUGAAAGGCCCCAAUAUUAUUGGAACUCUUUUAUGAUUCAGCUUUUCAUGGAGUUCUACUUUAUCAUGAAAUCUAGCACACUGGUUCCUUUCAAUUAAUCCCUGAAGGUUAAUAUUUUUGGACCACAGUUGACCUGAGGUAACUGAAACUGCUGAAAACAAAACCAUGGAUAAGGGAGAACUCUUGUAUUAUCACAGAUUAUAUCAAAACUAUGGCUCUAGGCUUUUUAGAAGAGUUUAACAAGUGGAGCUUGAAGCUCUGUUUUUACCCUUUCUCCGGGCUGUUAUUGUCAUACAAAUUACAUCUUUAUACAUGUUGUGCUGAACAACAAGUGGAUUUGUAGGUGUUUCUUUGUGAAGUUAUCUUCUAAAUCAGAUUUGCUGAGAUUUGUUUUGUGGCCUAACAUCUGAUCUACCCUGAAGACACUUCCAUGUGCUGAUGAGGAGAAUGCAUACUCUUCAGCUGUUGAGUGGGAUGUUCUGUGUAUAUCUGACUCAUCUUCCUUCUUUGAUGACAAGGGCUCUAAAGUGAGUCACCUAAACUGCAGUCUGAGGAGGAGUCAAGGGUACUGCAAAUGUGAGAGCCAGAUUCAGAUACUGGCAUGUGGAACAAGUUGAAGAAUGGCUAAUCUGACGUUCUGUAUUUAUCCAGAAAUUUUAACUAGGCUCCAUGAGUAAGGCUUUGAGGGCACAGUUCAGGGCUUAGCUGAUUCCCCCCAAAUGAGCUCUACUACCAGAAAUUCCCUGGUAGAGAUUAUUUAUUCUCCAGCUUUAGGGCUUUUAUUAGAUGAAAUGUCUUACUUCAUGCUUUAAUUUUAUGGUUCUAUUUUUAACAAUUUCCUGAACAGUACAUUCUACCAUGUCUCAAAAUAAACAAUUUGUUAUAUUUUUAUAAA